This 465-nucleotide ribosomal RNA is filed under the name uncultured bacterium. RNAcentral describes it as "partial 16S ribosomal RNA". It matches the Rfam family "Bacterial small subunit ribosomal RNA", at positions 28 to 507 of the family's 1533-position model. The record is from RNAcentral.
GACGAACGCUGGCGGCGUGCUUAACACAUGCAAGUCGAACGGAAAGGCCCCUUUGGGGGUACUCGAGUGGCGAACGGGUGAGUAACACGUGAGUAACCUGCCCUUGACUUCGGGAUAACUUCAGGAAACUGGGGCUAAUACCGGAUAGGAAUCCUUGCUGCAUGGUGGGGGUUGGAAAGCUUCGGCGGUUUUGGAUGGACUCGCGGCUUAUCAGCUUGUUGGUGGGGUAGUGGCUUACCAAGGCUUUGACGGGUAGCCGGCCUGAGAGGGCGACCGGCCACGUUGGGACUGAGAUACGGCCCAGACUCCUACGGGAGGCAGCAGUGGGGAAUAUUGCACAAUGGGCGGAAGCCUGAUGCAGCAACGCCGCGUGCGGGAUGACGGCCUUCGGGUUGUAAACCGCUUUCAGCAGGGGCGAAGCUUGUGGUGACGGUACCUGCAGAAGAAGCACCGGCUAACUACGUG